UUUACAUCAUUGAAGACUUAAGUCCUCUAUUUAGCCAUAGAACUGUUACAGUAUUUCUAGCAAUAGUGCAGGUUUCCCUUCCCAAUACUGCCCUGCAAAUGAAUCUCAACCCUGUUAUGGAGGGAUCACCUCUGUAACUGAAAGAGUCGUUCAUUUGCAUGUUGCAUUAAUUCCUAGAUUUAU
Molecule: unclassified non-coding RNA, 183 nt
Organism: Chelonoidis abingdonii (Abingdon island giant tortoise)
Lineage: Eukaryota; Metazoa; Chordata; Testudines; Testudinidae
Source: Ensembl